GAGGUGGACGGGCGACCGCCUUAGUUGAUUUUUGCAGCUACGGAGGAAAGUCCGAGCUCUCUCGGAAGGAUGCCCGCUAACGGCGGGGCGGGGUGACCCGACGGACAGUGCCACAGAAACAUACCGCUGCAUAGCAGUAAGGGUGAAAAGGUGAGGUAAGAGCUCACCGCGGAGUUGGAGACAACUCCGGACAAGGUAAACCCCAUCUGGAGCAAGGCCUAAUAGGGGUAGUAAAGGUUCCGAGCCUUACCCGGGUUGGCCGCUUGACCCUUUCGGCAACGGAAGGGCUAGAUAGAUGGUCGCCACUCUGGAUUAGUUCAGAGAACAGAACUCGGCUUACAGUCCACCUCA
This 351-nucleotide RNase P RNA is filed under the name marine eukaryotic metagenome. RNAcentral describes it as "Bacterial RNase P class A". It matches the Rfam family "Bacterial RNase P class A". Rfam says of the family: Ribonuclease P (RNase P) is a ubiquitous endoribonuclease, found in archaea, bacteria and eukarya as well as chloroplasts and mitochondria. Its best characterised activity is the generation of mature 5'-ends of tRNAs by cleaving the 5'-leader elements of precursor-tRNAs. The record is from RNAcentral.